GUCCUUACUGCUGCUCUCAUCCCCAGCGCUUCUCUGGAGUGCCUCAGGAGGGACUGGGAGCUGCUGCGUUAAGCAUUCUCUUCCCCAUGGGGAGUGGGAAGAGCGGGGUGAAGCAGACAGGCGCCUGUUCGGCAGGAGCUGUGGGUAAGAACACAGAGGUGUAGCGUGUGUGAUACCAUGUUACCGUCACAUCUACUUGAGUAGCGCAUUCCAUCUCAAAUGAUAAGUACGUGGCUCAUAAUACCUCCUAGUAUAUUUAUAAGGCUGUAAACCACACUGCUGAGAAGCCAGCUCUAAAACAAUACCCACACAGCAUUUGUAACAGGUAGAAUGGACCCAGGCUCACCAGUUUGAACACAGCCUGAUAGCUCUGAAAAGGCAUCCUAGAAGGUCGUAGUAGCCCAUCAUGCCUCACUGUGCAUAGACACUCUUCCUCACAUAGCACUGAGACAUGCUGGCAUCCUCAUUUCUUGGCUAGUUGUUCUGUCACCAGGCCAGAUGCUCAGAAUGGAGCAGCAUGAGGUGCAAAAGGAAUCAGGGAACUUGUGAAUAAGAAGAACAUACUCAUAAUUUUGCAGCUGGAAAAUUUCCCAUUAACUUAGCAACAGAGCUGGCCCAGGACAUCACAGAGCAGACCUGUUCCAAAAUUAAGAAGCCGAAGUGUACUUGUACAGCUGUGUUAGAGCAAACUGUAUGUCCUGAAGGUGUGUUGGACUUGUACAUGGUGAGGUUGUGACAGCAACACCUGAAGAAACAUGAAAGCCUUAAUUCACUCACAAAUCCCUCCAGCCUGCAGAGGCUGGCUGUGCAGGACUUAUCACACAAGGAUGUCAGAUGCUGCUGGUGGGAAGCUUUUCUCUGAGGCUUCUGCAAAGCUGCCUCCACACACACAGUGCCAAAUCUUUUAGCACAGUAAGGGCUAGAGCACAGUCCCAAUCACACAGCCAGGGAGGGCCUUCUGCCUUAAAUGUGCAACAUAACAGCAAUAAAAGAGAGGAGAACAGGCACUGCCAAUCUCUGCUUCUGUGACCAUUUAGGAGCCAAAAAAAAAAAAAAAAGAAAAACCCAAACAAAAAAAAAAAAAAAGGGAGAAAAGAGCCAGAAAUGCAACUUCUUUGUGAGACCAUUCUUCCCAGUGUCAGUCCUAACUGACACCAUUGCUGAGCCUCUAAGCACAGCAUACUGACACUGCACUUCAAGUUGCUUUAUGAAAAAGGAAAGGUAGCCAAGCUGCAGACUUCACAAGGUAGAAGUGCCCAGCAUCCCAGCAGAAUUUGCUCCAGCUAUGAACUCAUCUCACAGGCAUUGAAGGCAUAGUGGGCAGCAUUUCCUGGAGCUGAGGACAGACAGUGAGGAGCUUCUUCAUCUCACAAAAGUAAAAGGUGGACGUGAGUGAUUGGUCCGUGUCAGGAUAUACUGUUUACAUGCCACAAGACUUGGGAAUCUGAGGUCAUAUUCACUGCUACUGAGCCACUAGAAGUACAGGUUUGAAGCAGUAUUAGUACAGUCCAAGAAACACAGAAGAGAAAAUGAAAUGAAAGACGGCAAUGGGUCCUUUAAUCCAGAGUUUCUUAUUCUGUGGGAUGUAUUUUGCCAAGAAGACAUAAACAAAUCAUCCUCACCACAGAGUGAUGUCCUGUAAUGAAUGUGCUAGAGACACUAAUUAACUGUAAAUGAGACCAACACAGUUGAGAUGUGUUGCUCCAAUCUUCUGCCUCUUAGGACACGAUCUGCACUGACAGGUGUUUGUCUACUUCCUGUGAUGCCAAAUCAUAUCAAAAUUGAUGAAGAAUCAGAGAAAUUGCCACUGAUGUGCUGCUGAUGGGGGCAAUCUCCUCCAGGUAAAUGGGAGUCUGACCACACUGGAGAUGUUGCAGGUACUUCUCCUCAGAGUGACUAGACUCAAUUCUGAAUAUAGCUGAUAGACAUAAAAGACCUAGUUCCUUGGCUUUCACUUUUCUUAUACUUUAAAUAAUUCUCAUACUUUCAGAAGUUUAGCCCAUUUCUUUCUGACAAAUGAGAACUGAGGCCUGCAUGCAGCCUUGCAAUUUCAGGAACACAAAUAUACUUGUAGUAUGAUUUUAUUGGCUAGGUUCAUAAUAGGUUUUUCUAGCAAAUGCCAAUAUUGAAAAACCAAACAUAGACAAGAGUUGAAAGAUUAGAAUUGAUAGUGCAGUCAAAGUUCGAUACUGUUUAAUGAAGUUUUCAUUAAAACUGCUUCUUAUCACUAGAUCUGUUGUCAAGGGUUGCGUUUAUCUACUUUCUGGUGUACCAGUGAAAAGAAAGGCAGUUUUUAAUUUAUCUUCAUCCUACUGAAGUAGAACGAUUGUAAAAUAGCUGUACAAGGGUCAGUCUCCAGUAUGAGUAGUCUGAUCAAACAGAAUGUGCAUAACCCAUUUUCCUCACUCUCCUUAAGUUAAUUUUUUUCCUCCCUUUUGCUUGCAUUGCAGUUUACUGCAAUUUUCUCAAAUGAAUUCAAGUCUAACAGAUCCUUUAUACAUUUUGGAUGGAAAAUAUUUCACACUCUGUAUGCAAGUUGAUUUUUGGCAGAAUUUUGGAAUCAGCUGUAGUCAAAAGGUACACUAAAAAUCACAGGUUAUGAUUACUGUUAAUUCGUUCCCUCCAUUCCUCCUUCUGUUUCCUCUCUUGCAUUUGUGACAAUGCAACCUACCCCUUUUGAAGAAUUUUGUUGAGAAAAGCAAAUUACAGAAGACCACAUAAUUGAAGGAGACUACCACAACUGCUUAUAGACCAAAUCUUCAAAAGGCAUUGUAGAACAUCAAGCUUUAUAAUGAAACAGAGCAAGAAGGUGAAACAUAAUAAAACUGUAAACAAUUAGUUGAUGGUUAGUACUUGAAAAUAUUCUAGAGGAUAUGAUACAGGAAAUGUGUCUGUCUUUUGUGAGAGUAAAAGAAGUUGUGAGAAGUGCUGGAUUAAUUUCACAUGUCACUGUCAGAACAAAUGCAGAGAAUAGACUGUUUAAACUCAACAAAAGAAUCUUGGAAUAUCUAGACAUUUGGUUUAUGCAGUCAGCUCCAUUUGGCUGAUCUCAUUUACCUUCAAUUAGACUUUCCAGCAGCUUAGAAGCUCCAUAUCAGUCAAGAGAGAAGAGUUUAUAAUUGGCUACAAGUGUUCAUAUUCACUCCUUUGCCUUGGAGAAAAUAAACUGCUGUCAGCAAUUUAAGGUGGUUAUCAAUCCUGCAACCACUGUCUUAGGCUGUCCUCACUUGUUAAUGCAGCAGCUGCUGCUACCGUGAGAGAGAACUGCUGCCACAUGAUGUUUGACCAACCCACUUUAGACCCUUUCAGGACUGCCAAACAGGUGCUGGCCAUGCAUUUUGAGAAAUAAUUGUUGAGAAGAACAGUUUUCUGUUAUACCUACAGUUUUCUUGUAAGUCACCUUUGGGAAAAAGUAGUUCUGUGUGCCUGAAUGAGCUUUGGUAUUGGAGCUGGGUCAUGCACAGCAAGGUUAAAGUCAGGCAAGUUGCCAGAACAAAGUCAUUUUGCUCAGCAUUGGCUUCAGCUCUCACACAUCUGCUCUGUAAUUCAGCAGCUUGGUGCUGUCAGCCUUUGGAAGGACCAGUGCCUGAACAGAAUACAAGACAACUAUUUCUAAAUACUUCUGAGGAUCUGUGUUCAAGUACUUUUUGGUAUAACAGCAGAGCUCUAUCCCUGAAAUUUCAUCUGGGCGACCCAGAGAUGCCAAACAUUUGAAGUUAUUUUUAUGAAUGUUGUUGGAGAUAUUCAUUCUCAAAACCUCACCCUUUUUAAAAUUUUAUUCCCUAAAAUCUUGUAACUUUCUUAUAAUUUUUUUUUCUAUCGUUAAACAAAAUAGUCACAAAUAAGUGAAGCUCAGAUUCAAUGGUUUAAAUAUUUAGGCGUAUUCUUUUCUGCACAAUUUACAAUAUGCAGAAUUUCAGACACAUGUAGACAAGAUGGUUCUGCAUUAAUCAAAACAGGCACAUAGAGCUGGGGCAGUUAGUUAGCAAUGAAUUAAAAGUCAACAAGAACAAGUCCUAUCCUCAAACAUUCACAUUUUGCACAUAACUACUGUGAUUUUGUCUGUAUAUUACUGAUAGAGAUUUCUAUAUUUUUGUUUGUCUGAAAGUGUGAUACAUAUAAUAGAGGCAAAAAAUUGCAUCUGAACCAAACAACAUUUCUGAAUAUAAAAGCAGUGUUUGAGAUACAGUUCAUUAGCCUCAUUCAUUUUAAUUGUUACCCAGUCCAAAAUUAUAUCCUUUUCUAUUACACCAUAAUGACUUCUUUAAUUUGCCAGAAGUACAAAAAAUGAGCAAAAGGAAGAUCAGAAAAUCUUACUGCAGAAUUUCACAGUUUUCUCACAAAAUAUGUUUACAAAAUAUUGUUCUAAUAGAAAUUUGUAUUAAAGCAUGAAUGAUUUUAUGGUUUUGAAAUUGAUGGGAACUUCGAUAGUUCUGAAAUGGCUAGUGUUUCAUAAAUUUGCUUUAAAAUUUAAAAUUAAAUUGUUCUCUCCUUUUCUUUGACUCAUUUAUUUAGGGUUUCUCAAAUGAAUUAUUUAAACUCAAGCACUUAAUCCACAUCAACACUUUCAUUUAUGUCAUAGCUAAGUAAGCGUAGAAAUUAGGAGUAAAUAGUGUAGUUUGGCCCUGUCAUCCCCUCACUACAAACACUGGAGCUCAAAACCAGGAGAUUGAACUGGUGCAGGUGUCUGCCCAAGGAGCAGGGCUCACAAAAAUCACUGGGGUGGCCCUGGCAGCACAUGAGAAGCACAAGAGGGCCUGUGAAGCAGCUGUGUUACCAGUGAGUGAACACCUCUGCCUGUGGUUUCCCUGCUGUACUAUUCCAGGUAGUAAACAAAAUCUGGCUCACCUUGUUCUUCGCACUGGCAGCAGUUUCAGCUUGGAAAGGAGCAUCUCUUGGCUGACUUAGAACUCCCAAUUCCACCUUCUGUAAAUUUGCGUCUUGCCAAAGGAUAUUUAAAGUAAUUUUUGUUAUUUUUGGUUUGUAAGAGGAAAAAGGCACAUUCUUAAUACCUGCCUAAAAGAACUCACUAUUUUUUUACUUUUUUAAUUAUUAUUUUUUACUGAAUGGAAGAUAUGAAAGCAAGCAUUUGAAUCUUAUGAAUUCUGUAAUAAAGUUUGGAAAUGCACCAUUAACAAUGGCCUUUUACAUUAUGCACAUAUCUGAGCCACAUGGAAAUCUGAUAUUUACCUGUUCAGCUGUUUCUUUCAUGGAUCUGCAGUGCUGCAAGACAAGCAGGCAGAACUAACUCACAUCAGUACCAUUCCCAGGACCACGGUAAGGAGGCCCCGGGCUGCAGUGCCUUGUCUGUGUCUGCAGUUCCCUUAGUUUGCCACAGACACGUUUCUGCUUUGCCAAGGAUGAAGUCCUCAAGGCCACAACUGCAAUCAUGCAAGCUCUUCUGUCUCCUUUGAAAGAUGUCUCUUGCUCCUGCACAGAACUACAGGACCUGUAGGAUCACUGCCUGCUGCUACCUUACAGCAUCUACGCUCUGAUCACUCUAUUACAGCAAGCCACAGCUUGUGACAUUGCCAAAGGACAACAGAGGUGGCAAAAAGCUCCAGGUAUCUCCAGAUUCAAGGGCAGCAAAACCCACCUCCCUAGAUGGUUUCUGGAGUCCAUUCAGCUUCUGGAUCUCCUUCACUGUCCUUCAAAAGUUGUGCCAACACCAAAUGAAUCUCUGUGAUUUUCUGAUGCACUAAAAGCAUGGCAGAUGCACCAUCAAACUCAGUUUUGCCAAGCCUUAAUAGUUCUGGAUGUGCAUCGUGAGCCCCUCCUGGUGCUGAUUUCUGGACACAAAAGAUUGCUUUCAUGGUUCCAUCUCAGAAACUGCUCAGUGCUGGAGAGGUAUCACACCUGCUUCUCUUUCCAUUUUCCAAGUCUAGAAAUGUAUGGGUAUUUUUUUUUGAAUGCCAUUUCUGCCCGACUCCUUGAGAUCCAUGGCACAGCAGUGUGGUGUGUGUUAGUAAAUCUGCUGUGUCUGUGGAUGUAAUGAAAGUCUGCAGGCCAUCACCAACUGCUAUUUUCCUGUCUGGUGGAAGUCUAUACCAUCCUGGACAUCUUUGCUGUGUUCAGAGGGGAUAGCAUGCUCAGCUGUGCUAUGUAGGAUGUGAUGAUGAUAUUUUUCCCUGCUCAGUGUUCCUUGGGCAAGGCCAGUGCUUAAUACACUCUCGUGGAUGGAGAGCCCAAAAACAGUGCAUGCACACAGGACUGAACCACACCUUCUACAGGUAGAAAAUCUGAAAAUGAGCAUUACAUGCUCUAUUAUCUUUCUUUUCUUUUUCUUUGUUUUCAAUGCUGCAUACAUAAAAAAAAAAAAAAAAAAAAAAAGCCACCAAACCACCAGUGAACCCAUUUCAGUUCAACUGAUUUAAUUUUUUUUUUACCAAAUCUUCAGCUGUAACUGGUGACAAUACCAUUCCUUAAAGUUUUUUAAUACAUUUGGCAGGUAAGACCAUGAAAGCAGUAGCUCAUUAUUUUAUAUUUAUGAACCAAGCUGAGAUUCUAUAAUAUCCUGUCCUGAUGUGAUCUAUUGUUAUACUCUUAUUUCCAGCAACUUUUAUCUAACUGCUGCUAGAAAUUCUACCCAUAGGUACUGAUGCGUUGCCUUUGAAUACAAUGGCAUAUUGUUGCCUGUUCUCUCAGUUUGAUUUAUUUUGGGUGAUAAAUGAACAUCUUGAGGCAGUCAUCAGACUUUAAUUUGACUGAACAGAUCGUAACUGAAAAUCACAAUUUUCCUAGAGCACUGUUGAAGAGCAGCCAGUCAUUUUACAUUACCCAUAUAUUGUUGGCUGUUUAUUGGUUCUCUGCAACAUGCACUAGAAUGCUUUUUGCAGUAUUUACAGCACUAUUCACGUAUUUUACUAUCAAUGUUUUAUAAGCUACCAGCAGCAGGAAAAAAAAAUUACUCACAGAGCAUGUGAUACUGGGAAGAACAUAGAAAUACAACACAGUUACAUAUACACAUCCAAAAAUAUACUAAGUCGCCUCACAUACUAUGAAAGCUAAAAAAUCCUUUACAGCUGCAUAUUAUAACUUUUUUACUUUUU
Long non-coding RNA from Poecile atricapillus (Black-capped chickadee), 7049 nucleotides. RefSeq lists it as uncharacterized. NCBI's taxonomy places the organism in Eukaryota, Metazoa, Chordata, Aves, Passeriformes, Paridae. The transcript has 4 exons. The record is from RefSeq and is a predicted model, not a curated record.